Molecule: unclassified non-coding RNA, 1330 nt
Filed under: Drosophila pseudoobscura
Lineage: Eukaryota; Metazoa; Arthropoda; Insecta; Diptera; Drosophilidae
Description: male-specific antisense RNA
Source: RNAcentral
UGAACUGAUAGACAAAGACGGCCUUGGGCGACAGCUCAUCGCCGCUCACAAAUUGUAAAAAUACACUGAAAAUAUGCUGAAUACUCGACUGUAGGGGCUCCUUCAGGGUCUGGGGCGUUGCCCGCAGCUCAGUGCUGGAUGAUGGAGAGGCCAAACGUGGUCCUGCCAAACCUCCAGCGUUAUCUGUAAAGUCGUUGGAAUUCUCACUGCCAUCGCCAAUGACUUUGCGCACCUUUGCUACAUUGGUGGCCUGGUCCUCCUCAUCAUUGGAACGUGAACGUUUCUUCAGGCCACUGAAGGAUGAGGAGGCCACACCGCUGCGAGUCUCCAGACAGGAGAUGACACAGUAGACGCACAGACGCGCAAGAACCAAUGACUGCGGCUCAUUAAUGUCCUCUCUGCAAAAAAUUUCGAAGGAAAAUUAAGCAAUGGGCUCCACUCCAUAUUUGUUGAGCAAUUCGCUUACCCCUGGCGACGAAGCAUAAGAGGAGGCACCACAUACUGUAGUAGCGCCUCGGUGCCCUUCUCAAUGUCCAGAUGCAUGACGGCAAACACAAUGUCCAUGGUUUUGGACAUGUCCCGAAUGUAUUUGCAGGUGAGCAGCUGCUCGACCAGCUGUGUGGUCAACCACGCAGCACCACCGGCCAGGAGCAGUGACUCCAGGGUCUGGACCGCACGCACGGGCAGAUGACCCGCCUCGGCCACGGUUUUCCACACCUCACGGAACUGUUCGAUGAGCGGCGAGUGGGAGAUGAGGCGGGACUUGGUGCUGGGGGCGGGAUGGACAUCGUGUUGCAUUUUCCUUAUGAUCGGAUAGGACAAGGCCAGUCGCUCCUUGGCAUAUUCCUGACUGGACAACUCCUCGCUAGUGAGGGGGGCCAGGAACUGCUGGAUCAUGUUGAGGGGCUUCAGCAGCUCCGUCUCCCGCACCGAAUACAUGUAGGCGCAGAGAAAGCUGGUUGCGCAGACGGAGAAGCUGAAGAGACGUCGCUUUAUGUUGUCCAAAAUGUUCUUCACGUCCGCCGACGAGAGGGUCUCCUGCUCCCAGGCAAUCAGCACAUGAUGCAGCACUCCUGGCAGAUUCAGGCAGGUCUCUUGCCAGCUCAAAGAGCACGGCUUCAGUUGUGCCGCCUCCGGCUUGCUCAGGCUGAGUAGCAGCUCAUCCACCAUGCUGUCAUCGCAGAGCGCCAAUAUCUGGCGCGGAUUCUUAAGCUUGUUUCGCUCCACCAUGCACUCCCUCACCCACUUCUCAAAGAAGGAGUCCCCGCGAUCGGACAGUACCACCUGAAAUAAAGGAAACUCAAUAAAUAUAUCCUAAAUUUUCACCGAG